AAGUCGUAACAAGGUUUCCGUAGGUGAACCUGCGGAAGGAUCAUUACUUGAAGUUGGCUAGGUAUGAGGGUGAAGCGGUUCAAGGCGACACUGCUCUCUAGCCAAUCUCCCACCCUUUUGUUUAUAACCCUCCUGUUGCUUUGGCGGGCAUGCCCGCCAAAGGUCUCCAAACCCUUACUGAAAUGGUUAUACUUAUGGAUACCUUUUGAAUUUAAAACUUUCAACAACGGAUCUCUUGGUUCCG
RNAcentral lists this unclassified non-coding RNA (244 nucleotides) under fungal sp. RNAcentral's name for it is "partial internal transcribed spacer region". The stretch from base 1 to 46 matches the Rfam family "Eukaryotic small subunit ribosomal RNA", at positions 1786 to 1831 of the family's 1831-position model. Lineage: Eukaryota; Fungi. The record is from RNAcentral.